GUAAUUAAAAACCUUACUUAUUAUAAUAAAAAGAUGUGCAUAAAGUAAACCAGGGUGUUACAAUUUGAUUACAUUACAUGUUUUAGCUGAACCAAAAUAAAAAACAUAACGAACAGGCUUUUCCUUUCUGUUUUACAGGUAAACUGAAUGCUAAAUUAAGCCGAUAAAUAAGAGACUCGUCUGUCAUCAUUCAUUAACUAUGAAAAUAUGGAAUACACAAAAAUGCUCAUCACCAAUUCACCACCACUAUCACCAAUUACUACCACAAUAACUAAUAACUAACAUGUGCUUGUGAUCAAAACCAUAAACACAUCCAAC
RNAcentral lists this long non-coding RNA (318 nucleotides) under Lathyrus oleraceus (garden pea). RNAcentral's name for it is "Pisum sativum (pea) long non-coding RNA (PSAT_LNC021841)". Lineage: Eukaryota; Viridiplantae; Streptophyta; Magnoliopsida; Fabales; Fabaceae. The record is from RNAcentral.